GUUUGAUCCUGGCUCAGGACGAACGCUGGCGGCGUGCCUAACACAUGCAAGUCGAGCGAAGAAGUCCCUUCGGGGAUGGAUUAGCGGCGGACGGGUGAGUAACACGUGGGUAACCUGCCUCAAAGAGGGGGAUAGCCUCCCGAAAGGGAGAUUAAUACCGCAUAAAAGGUAAAUACCGCAUGGUAAAUACCUUAAAGGAGAAAUCCGCUUUGAGAUGGGCCCGCGUCGCAUUAGCUAGUUGGAGGGAUAAAAGCCCCCCAAGGCGACGAUGCGUAGCCGGCCUGAGAGGGUGAACGGCCACAUUGGAACUGAGAUACGGUCCAGACUCCUACGGGAGGCAGCAGUGGGGAAUAUUGCACAAUGGGGGAAACCCUGAUGCAGCAACGCCGCGUGAGUGAAGAAGGUUUUCGGAUCGUAAAGCUCUGUCAUCCGGGACGAUAAUGACGGUACCGGAAGAGGAAGCCACGGCUAACUACGUGCCAGCAGCCGCGGUAAUACGUAGGUGGCGAGCGUUGUCCGGAAUUACUGGGCGUAAAGGGUGUGCAGGCGGAUAUUUAAGUGAGAUGUGAAAGACCCGGGCUUAACCCGGGCAGUGCAUUUCAAACUGGAUAUCUAGAGUGCAGGAGAGGAGAACGGAAUUCCUAGUGUAGCGGUGAAAUGCGUAGAGAUUAGGAAGAACACCAGUGGCGAAGGCGGUUCUCUGGACUGUAACUGACGCUGAGGCACGAAAGCGUGGGUAGCAAACAGGAUUAGAUACCCUGGUAGUCCACGCCGUANACGAUGAGUACUANNGUGUANGGGGUAUCGACCCCCCCUGUGCCGCAGUAAACACAAUAAGUACUCCGCCUGGGAAGUACNGAUCGCAGAUUNAAACUCAAAGGAAUUGACGGGGACCCGCACAAGCAGCGGAGCAUGUGGUUUAUUUCGAAGCAACGCGAAGAACCUUACCUAGACUUGACAUCUCCUGAAUUACCCGUAAUGGGGGAAGCUCUUCGGAGCAGGAAG
RNAcentral lists this ribosomal RNA (1005 nucleotides) under uncultured Clostridium sp. Its description in RNAcentral is "bacterial SSU rRNA". It matches the Rfam family "Bacterial small subunit ribosomal RNA", at positions 11 to 1033 of the family's 1533-position model. Lineage: Bacteria; Bacillati; Bacillota; Clostridia; Eubacteriales; Clostridiaceae. The record is from RNAcentral.